RNAcentral lists this ribosomal RNA (468 nucleotides) under uncultured bacterium. RNAcentral's name for it is "partial 16S ribosomal RNA". It matches the Rfam family "Bacterial small subunit ribosomal RNA", at positions 28 to 507 of the family's 1533-position model. The record is from RNAcentral.
GACGAACGCUGGCGGCGUGCUUAACACAUGCAAGUCGAACGGAAAGGCCCUGCUUUUGUGGGGUGCUCGAGUGGCGAACGGGUGAGUAACACGUGAGUAACCUGCCCUUGACUUUGGGAUAACUUCAGGAAACUGGGGCUAAUACCGGAUAGGAGCUCCUGCUGCAUGGUGGGGGUUGGAAAGUUUCGGCGGUAGGGGAUGGACUCGCGGCUUAUCAGCUUGUUGGUGGGGUAGUGGCUUACCAAGGCUUUGACGGGUAGCCGGCCUGGGAGGGUGACCGGCCACAUUGGGACUGAGGGAGGGCCCAGACGCCUACGGGAGGCAGAAGGGGGGAAUAUGGCACAAUGGGCGGAAGCCUGAUGCAGCAACGCCGCGUGCGGGAUGACGGCCUUCGGGUUGUAAACCGCUUUCGCCUGUGACGAAGCGUGAGUGACGGUAAUGGGUAAAGAAGCACCGGCUAACUACGUG